This 78-nucleotide transfer RNA is filed under the name Dehalococcoidia bacterium. Its description in RNAcentral is "tRNA-Asp". It matches the Rfam family "tRNA". Rfam says of the family: Transfer RNA (tRNA) molecules are approximately 80 nucleotides in length. Their secondary structure includes four short double-helical elements and three loops (D, anti-codon, and T loops). Further hydrogen bonds mediate the characteristic L-shaped molecular structure. tRNAs have two regions of fundamental functional importance: the anti-codon, which is responsible for specific mRNA codon recognition, and the 3' end, to which the tRNAs corresponding amino acid is attached (by aminoacyl-tRNA synthetases). tRNAs cope with the degeneracy of the genetic code in two manners: having more than one tRNA (with a specific anti-codon) for a particular amino acid; and 'wobble' base-pairing, i.e. permitting non-standard base-pairing at the 3rd anti-codon position. The record is from RNAcentral. RNAcentral also lists the same sequence under 1 other name. Lineage: Bacteria; Bacillati; Chloroflexota; Dehalococcoidia.
GGCCCGGUGGUGUAGCUGGUUUAACACACUGCCCUGUCAAGGCAGAGAUCGGCGGUUCGAAUCCGCUCCGGGUCGCCA